RNAcentral lists this long non-coding RNA (8423 nucleotides) under Triticum aestivum (bread wheat). RNAcentral's name for it is "long non-coding RNA (TAES_LNC018120)". The record is from RNAcentral. Lineage: Eukaryota; Viridiplantae; Streptophyta; Magnoliopsida; Poales; Poaceae.
GGAGCUCCAGUAGGACACUCGGCAUUUUAAAUGUUCUAUCCUAGCUGCUGUAUAAUUUUCUUUAAUGUCUGAACGAUCGAUUUUGUAGCACUGACAUGAUCAGUCUCAAUGAGGUUAUUGACGGUUGAAUUUUCAGUUGAGCUAUCAAGUUGAUUGUCUAUACCCUACCAUUUUGCAUCUUUCAUCUUUCAUCUCCCUGGAAUAAGGAUAUUGUACCUUACUCAAAAGCUUUUCAAAUCUAUAUUAACAAACAGUCUCAGUUUUUUUUAUUGCCUUUUAGUUAACAGUUACCUUAUGUCUGAUUGUUGUAUUUCUACUUGGAACAGAGGAAAGUGCCCUUAUGGAGCUUUUAAGCUUUAUUUACAGUGGAAAGUUGACGACAAAUGAGCCAACCCUUCUGCUUGAUAUCUUGAUGAUUUCUGAUAAAUUUGAAGUUGUUUCUUGCAUGAGACACUGCAGUCAAUUGCUAAGGAGCUUACCUAUGACCACAGAAUCUGCACUUCUCUAUCUAGAUCUGCCUUCCAGCAUUUCAAUGGCUGCAGCAGUUCAGCCACUGACUGAUGCUGCCAAGGAAUUCCUCGCUAACAAAUACAAGGAUCUGACCAAGUGGGUAGUCUCUUUAUUUAAAGAGCCAACUAAAUUAUUGAAAGUAACAUUGUUGAACUAAAGGAAUGCUUCCUCUUUCCAGGUUUCAGGAUGAAGUGAUGAACAUUCCCCUUGCUGGGAUUGAAGCCAUCCUAUGUAGUAAUGACCUUCAGGUGGCAUCAGAGGAUGCAGUCUAUGACUUUGUGAUCAAGUGGGUUCGUGCUCAGUACCCAAGAACGGAAGAAAGACGUGAAAUCUUGGGUACUCGCUUGCUGCCGCUCGUUCGGUUCUCUCAUAUGACCUGCAGGAAGUUGCGGAAGGUCCUUGCGUGCAGUGAUCUGGAUCAUGAGCAAGCAUCGAAAAGUGUCACUGAUGCACUCCUGUACAAAGCUGAUGCACCACAUCGACAGCGUGCCCUUGCUGCAGAUGUGUUGACUUGCAGGAAAUAUACUGAACGAGCUUACAAGUAUCGCCCGCUUAAGGUGGUGGAAUUUGAUCAACCAUAUCCUCAGUGCAUAGCAUACUUGGAUCUGAAGCGUGAGGAGUGUAGCCGACUUUUCCCAUCCGGGCGGAUUUACUCGCAAGCAUUCCAUCUUGCUGGACAGGGAUUCUUCCUGUCAGCACAUUGCAACAUGGAUCAGCAAAGUGCUUUCCACUGCUUUGGUCUCUUCUUAGGGAUGCAAGAGAAAGGCUCAACGAGUGUCACCGUGGACUAUGAGUUUGCUGCAAGGACAAGGCCAUCGGGCGAUUUUGUCAGCAAGUACAAGGGUUACUACACCUUCACUGGUGGAAAGGCAGUUGGCUACCGGAAUCUCUUUGCAAUUCCCUGGCCGUCGUUUAUGGCUGAUGACAGCCUCUUCUUCAUCGAUGGAGUUCUACAUCUGAGAGCAGAACUGACCAUAAAGCAAUCAUAGAUAGUGGAAAAUCUUGUGUGGUUCAAACAUGUUUUUCCUGAGCACCAAAAUAGACACUUUUGAAAUGAGAAGCAAAAUCUGUGAACUGUGAAAACUGAAAAGUAACAUCUUAUGAACUGUGAAGGUGUAGUUGCGCCACAUAAGUUUUUUCUUAAUGUGUAGCGCUACAUGAGUUAAAUUUGCAGUUUGUUGAAAUUUCUACUCAUUUUGAUGGUAAUCCUUUCAGGGACAUACGACAUGCUUGGAUAGUGUCAUGUACUAGAAUGUAGUCAAGGUACAAAGAGCGUUUGCUAAAUGAUGGCAAUAAGCAAGUCAGUUCUAUAGAAAAGAAAAAGGUUACUUCGAACGAUGGAUUUUGCAUCUUAGGCCCCGCUUGGAUUCGGUGUAAGUUUAUACAGCUGGAUUUAAUUUACAGGUGUAAAUUACCGGCUGUAGUGUGUUUUCCGUUUGGAAUAGAAACGAUGGCUGGAGGUCUAUCGAUUACGGAGGUACUCCCUCCGUCCCGUCCCAUUAUAUGAGAGCUUUUUUGACGCCAGUGUCAAAAACGUUCUUAUAUUAUGAGGCGGAAAGAGUAUUUGGGAGGCAACCAACGAUCCAAGCAGGGCCUUACUGUAUUUUCUUUUAGAAACUGCCAGGUAUAGCUAUAGGCUCUGUUUGUUUAGUUUGCGGCUGGGCGAUGUUGGCAAAAGUUUGGUCAUUUGGCAAUACGGCUGUUGAUUGAUUGCCACAUUUUUUUAGAAUCGCCGGAGGAUUCUCACCUAAUUUUUUUUCGAGUAAGUCUAAGCAUACCAUAUUUUCAUAAAAGGCGAAAAUCAAGUACAGGAAACUAAGAACUUGAUGCGAAUAACAAGUGUAGUACAACUUCACACCAAGCUAAUCAAUAGAUUAGCCACCGCGACAAUUACAAACGCAACGCAAGAGGGCCGGGGAUGGGAAGGGAUCUGGUGGAACCCUUUCCCUUCACCUAAUCCCCUCAACCCCUUAUAAUUUGCAUUAGAGUUGUGCUUGGGUAGAGAAUACACGAGGGGAAGAGGGCGUGUUGAGUUUACAGGGGGUGAGGGUUUGCAUGGGAUCCAUGGGGUUGCACACGUCGAAAACCAGCCCACCAAAAACAAGGCUUCAUAGCAUCUACAUGAGCCCUCGUAUCUGUCAAACGCCUGACCUGCCCGACCGCACAGAAAACAGCCGCCCAACCAGAUUUGGCAAAUCUGGCUCAAACACCCUGGUUGACUGGCACUUCUCAUAACCGGUGCAUAUGUGGGGCGGAUGUGGGGACACCCGGAUACGCCCACCAUGUAGGACUGACCACAAGGGCCCACAUGAACACUCAUAGAAACCAUCAGUCCGAAGGGCGCCUCCUUCAUUUUUUAGUGAGAAUGCAUUCAUGGUGCUGCGUGGCGUCGCACGACGUGCCGCCUGAGGACCAAGCACGGUUAUUUAAGCUGGACGACGGCAACCCAACCCUAGCCUGUCUGCAUUUCUACCCUCUCCUCCUUUCACGCCGCCACCUUCAAUCCGGUCAUCGUUAGCCGCUAGCCAUGGCCCGUAGUAGGAUCACCAUCUACGCCAUACUCACCCCGGAGCAACGCUUGCAGCUGUUGGAGGAGAACCGGGCUAGGCACGAAGCUCGGAUCGUAGUCAGCCUGCCUCCGGAUUCAUCCGAGCCGGAGCCAGAGGAGGAGGAGACCCUGGAGGACCCGGAGGCGGAGGAGGCAGUCUGCGGGCUUCACCAUUGCCAACGCGCUGGCGGAGUUCGAGGUGGCCCAAGCAGAGGACGCAAUGGAGCAACAAACCAUCCUCGACUCCAUCCAGUCGGAGGCGGAGGUGGAGGCCAACCGUCGCUUCCUCACUAGGCAGACGUGGAGCUCAACGAGAUCUUGGCCGACGAGGAGCAAGAGGAGGCGGAGCCGGAGGUGCGCCAGCCGCCCAUGACCAUUAGGUCAGCGGCUUCGGCACAAACUUCAUCAACAUCUCCAGUGAGGGGGACGAGUAUUGUAGUUGUGGGAGUGUACUUGGUACGUAGAUCAUGUCGGUACAUGCUUUUGUAUGAAGAUGCAAAUCGUGAAGUGGCUACUAUGAUCGUUGGGGGUGAAAUAUGGGGUAUGACCGGUCACCGUUUGCGAACGUGCCUGACCCGUUUGGCAACUCAAAUUAGCUAUGUAUGGUUGUAGAUGCUCUAAGGCCAACUCCAACGCAAGGCUCCAUUUCAUCCGCCGGCGUCCAUUUGGAUCUACAGAGACAAAAAAUGCAGCCCAAUGCAGAGAGCCAUUAUGUUUUUAUGUCCACUUUGUGUGUCUCGGACUCAUUUCUGUCCCAAAAAUUGGGUCAAAUUUGGAUCCGAAGCGGACAACGUGCGUUGUCCAUCUGUGUCCUCUUUGUCCGGCCUGGCCCACCACCCACCGUCUUUUUUUCAAUCUCUUCCCUCAUUUUUCCCCUCCCGGUCCACACAUCCACCCAUGAACCGCACAAAUAUCUCCACCACGCCGAUGGGAGACAGAGGAGGCACGAAGCAUGAUGGCGCUCACUCCGACCGGCCUCGAGACCGCCGUCGCGGUGGCCCCGACAACCGCAUCGCCGGCAGGCUCGGUGGUGCUGUCCAUGUCGUCUCCGUGGCGGAGAACAUCAUCCACAUCAGGCGCGGCGGCGUGCCCUCCGCAUCGGGUAUACACCUCUUUGACGUCCUCCUCCCCGAGCGAUAGUUGGGUAAGAGCAUGUCCGUCCCAAAAUGCGUUAGCUCCGUUGGGCUGUGUCCGCAUGUCCGUCUAUGUCCGCUGUCUAUUUUGUUGACCUAAAAGAAUAAAAAGCGAAUAAAAUUCGUGUUGUUUGGGUCACUGCAUUGGAGAUGCCCUAAGGCUUUCUUAGGUUGCAACAUAAAAUAGGGCAUAAAAUAUACCCUGGAAACCGAGUUACUCUAACAGUUCGAAAUCCAAUACGAUGCUCUCAUUCUGCAAUCAGAGUAAUCCCAGUUGCCCAAAUCAUGCUCCAUGCAUGUUCAUGGACAGGAAAGUACUCCAUGAGAAAAUGAUGAUGAUUACUCCACAAGGGGAAAAACCCGUGACACCAAAACCCACCCCCUCCGAACCGCAAGCUUUGACGUCCUCUCCGUCGACCUGCCGCCUGCGUCCCCCCUUCCUAACCGCAACCAGCCCAACUCUACUCACUCUACUAGUAGUCUAAAAGGAAAGGAGAGACGCAACACAGGUCACGUCGCGAGCGAAGCAAGGCACAGAAUCGCGACGCCGACGCCGACCAGACCCUCACCCUCCGCUGACGCGCCGGCCCCACGUGUGGGAAACGUGGCCCGCGGACAGCCGGGACCCACGGCGCACGCCUCCUAGUUAAGCGGCCUGCCGGUCUCUGCACCCAAAUCGCCGCACCCGUUUCACGCUUACCACCCUCUGGUUUCCUCCCCAUCACACCACAGCCACGCCUCUCUCUUCUCCGUCUCACUCUUGUCCCCACGCCCCCGCUUCCGCGACCUUCUGGAACCUUCUCUCGGGCUAGGGUUCCGGCUCCGACGGCGGUGAUGAUGUCUUCUGCGGCCUGCGCGCAGCGGCGGAGGUGAGGCGGCGGGCGUGGCCGGAUUGGUAUUGGAGGAAGGGGGCGGUGGUGGCCGGGAUGGACCCGGACUUCUCGCGGGCGAGCGGCGGCCCGAGCUUCGAGUUCGCCUUCAACUCGGUCAACUUCUCCGACCGGGUCCUGCGGAUCGAGAUCGUCGCCGGGGACGACGCGCCGGGGGCCAAGGGCGCCGCCGGCGAGGGCUGCUCCUCCAUCGCCGACUGGGCGCGCCACCGCAAGCGCCGCAGGGAGGACCUCCGCCUCGAGAAAGGUGGGGAAGGUUGGUCUACGUCUCGUCAUCAUUUCGGUACGGGGCGAUUUGGGCGUGGGUGGGUUUGAAUUUGUAUUCGUACUGAUUUGACAGCGGGUGGGUGGGGAGUUGGGAAAUGGAGGUAGUACUACUUGCUUUUCCCGCUGAUUUGUUUUGAUUGCCUGUUGGGGAUUUAGGUAUCAAAAGCCUUACGUUUGGUAUAAGGUGGGAGAAAGAUGGUGAGGCAGCUUUUCCUUUUGAUUGAAGUGAAGUUAUGAUUUCCUAGUUGUUUGCCUUGAUUUGAAUUUCUCAGUUGUUGCCACACGGAAUUUAGCCACAAUAUGAUCUUCUUAGCAACGUCGUGUUCAGGAGAUGACAUUGGUGGGUGGAAUUUUAGGGGAUUUAUCCUGGACUCUAUUUGCAAGAUCUUAUUCAACUCUUAAUUCCGCAGAAGAAAACUCUGUGACAUUGCUCCUAGUAUGAUCCUGAAUUUGCAAAGAGCAUUGUGCACCGUAACCGAACCAACCUCAAGCCCAGUAGAUGCAAUAAGUUGUAUAUAAAGUUAUAAGCUAUAGACAGAAGUUAGUUUGGUUAUUGCCUGAUUAAUAGUACGGCCAGAUGUUGUCCAAUGUCUCGUUUAGCUGAGCAUGCAUUCGUUGUAAUGGGCUAACAAGGGUUUUAGGUGUUACAUAAUGCUUCUAAGUUUCUAUAUUUGAGAAAAGUAAGCAUGAAAGUGGGUAUAUUAAGGGGAGGAUGGAGCAGUAAUGAAGUUAGAAGUUCUUACUCUUAACUACUUACUCCCAGUCUGUGUUUAUUAGGCCACCAGGGCGAAGUGCUGGGACCAAGGCACAACGCGUGUAGUUGCCCAGUUUUGAAUUGGCCCUGUUAGAACACAUGGGCUAGCGGCAUUAAUUAGCGAAACCGUUUCGCCUACCUCGCACAUGUAGCGGCUGGAGAUUUAUCUCCCUCAAUCAGUGGACGGAACGAGCAACGGAACCUGCGAAAUCUGCACUUAAUUAAGACCGGAUGCGGCUCACUGGUUCUCUGGCCUAAUAAACACGGACAUAGGAAGUAUUUGACAUCCUAUUAGCGUCCCAUGAAAAGUUCGGAGUACCCAAUAUAUUUUGCUUGCAUCCAACUUCGCUCUGAAUGUGCACUCUAGGCAUUCAUCGUUAAUGCUUGUUCAUGGGCCUCAUAUUGUUAUUAGGAUUUAUGCUUUAUUGCUUGGAUCUUUUUCUGUCAUUGUCAUCUGAAACUAUUGUACUCUUGCUUUGCUUUAUCAGAAUAUGUUUCUGUCAUGACGAUCUGAUGCCAAUGCACUUAUACUAUUCACACUUUCUUAAUCAUGUUCUUAUUCUAGAGUGCAAUAACUUCCAUUUUCAAUGACCUCCUGCUAUCAUCUCAUGCCCCCAGAAUGUGGAAAGUAUAUGUCAGAACCAGCAAACAUCAAAAUUGAAGCAGAUGAACGUGAUACCUAUGAGGAAACCAACGAGGAGCCUGUAGCUAUGAUAGAAGAAUCUCCACCUGAUAUUGGACAAGAUGGUUAGUGCAAUUGAAUAUCUUUUAAUUACUCCGAAGUACUCCCACCGUAUCAAAAUAUAAGACGUUUAUUAGGCUAGUUUAGCCUACAAAAAUGUCUUAUAUUUUGGUACAGAGGUAGUAUAUGGCAGUCAGGUUCAGAAAAUUUAACACAUAAACACAGAAUUCUGUGCACCUAUGCCAGAUAAUUAAAAUUAUUUUUUGGAGAACUGUUAUGCGUAGCAAUCAUUGGUACUGAUCAUAUGUGAUUUUAGAGUUAGUUGAUGGCACAAUGUAUCAGAGCGAGUAACUCAUUCCUUUGUAUUGAAACUGUGGAGACAUGCUGGUACCGGUGAAGCCUUUCUGCCAGCCAUUGCGUUGAUAAUAUUAGACAUGUGGUAAUCAUUUUAAAUUCCUCACUUUACUAUUGAUUGGUUGAGAUUUAUACGAGCUUGAUUACUUGAUUCUUUCUGCCCCACCUAAUUUUGGAACAAUUGGGUUAUGUUGGAUGGAUUAUACUUCUGUUGGAUAUAAUUCUGACAUAACUGUAAGUAAACUUGUGUACAAUUGUUAUACAUGUGGACAAAUGUACUUUAACUUUUGAAGCUACCAGAUCUCUGAAGUUUGUGCACCAUGUUGUUACUGAUAAGUCAUAUGAUUCGAUACACUGUCACUAUGCUCCCCAUUUGAUUGUGCUCCAAAGCAUCAUAUCCUUGUCUAUAUAAAAGAUGUGAAUCCUGUGCACCAUUUGUUCCUUUAUACUACAUGCCUAUGUGGCCGUUUGUUCUCUGCUUCAUUGGACCUUGCUGUUUGUAUCAGGUGAGGAUGGAGACAGUGACUCAUCCUGGAAUAUGGAAUGUAAUCAGGUUUUGAGAGUGAAGUCUAUAUAUAUCAGCUCUGCGAUUCUAGCUGCAAAAAGUCCCUUCUUUUACAAGGUGGAUCUAAUUUGUGUGUAAAAUGAGUUCAUUGUGGUGUAGUUAUGUAUUGUUAUCUAGCUAACAGUGUCAUAACUUUCAUCUUGUUAGCUUUUCUCAAAUGGCAUGAAAGAAUCCGACCAGAGGCAUGCAACUCUUAGAAUAACUGCUUCAGGUAAUGUGGGAGCUCCAGUAGGACAUGUUCUAUCCUAGCUGCUGUACAGUUUUGCUUAAUGUUUUGAAUGAUCGAUUUUGUAGUACUGACAUGAUCAUUGUCAAUGAGGUUAUCCAUGAUUAAUUUUUCAGUUCAGCAAGCAAGUUAUUUGUCUAUACCCCACCAUUUUGCAAAUAUAUUUUUCUUUUGCUUUCGAGCUAACAGUUACCUUAUGUCUGAUUGUUGUAUUUCUACUUGGAACAGAGGAAAGUGCCCUUAUGGAGCUUUUAAGUUUUAUUUACAGUGGAAAGUUGACGACCAAUCAGCCAACCCUUCUGCUUGAUAUCUUGAUGAUGUCUGACAAAUUUGAAGUUGUUUCUUGCAUGAGACACUGCAGUCAACUACUAAGAAGCUUACCUAUGACCACAGAAUCUGCACUUCUCUAUCUAGAUCUGCCUUCCAGCAUUUCAAUGGCUGCAGCAGUUCAGCCACUGACUGAUGCUGCCAAGGAAUUCCUUGCCAACAAAUAC